Molecule: ribosomal RNA, 481 nt
Filed under: uncultured bacterium
Lineage: Bacteria
Description: partial 16S ribosomal RNA
Rfam family: Bacterial small subunit ribosomal RNA
Source: RNAcentral
GACGAACGUUGGCGGCGUGCUUAAUACAUGCAAGUCAACUGAAGCAGUGGUAGCAAUAUCGCUGUGGAGGUGGCGCACGGGUGAGUAACACGUAGGUAAUCUGCCUUCAGGUCUGGCAUAACUCCGGGAAACCGGGGCUAAUAGCAGAUGAUGCAGCGGCUCGACAUCGAGACAGUUGUUAAAGCUAUGGCGCCUGAAGAUGAGCCUGCGUCUGGUUAGCUAGUUGGCGGGGUAACGGCCCACCAAGGCAACGAUCAGUAGCUGGUCUGAGAGGAUGAUCAGCCACACUGGAACUGAGACACGGUCCAGACUCCUACGGGAGGCAGCAGUAAGGAAUAUUGCUCAAUGGGAGAAAUCCUGAAGCAGCAACGCCGCGUGAGGGACGAAGGGCUUUUGCUUGUAAACCUCUGUAGUGAGAGAAAAAAAUCCCAAUCUUUGGGACAUGAUGGUAUCUCAAAAGUAAGCCCCGGCUAACUACGUG